RNAcentral lists this ribosomal RNA (250 nucleotides) under uncultured bacterium. Its description in RNAcentral is "partial 16S ribosomal RNA". It matches the Rfam family "Bacterial small subunit ribosomal RNA", at positions 527 to 776 of the family's 1533-position model. The record is from RNAcentral.
AGAGGGUGGGAGCGUUGUCCGGAAUCACUGGGCGUAAAGGGCGCGUAGGCGGCCGAGUAAGCGUGCGGUGAAAGCCCGGGGCUCAACCCCGGGUCGGCCGUGCGAACUGCUGGGCUUGAGCACUGUAGAGGCAGGUGGAAUUCCGGGGGUAGCGGUGGAAUGCGUAGAGAUCCGGAAGAACCCCCGUGGCGAAGGCGGCUCUCUGGGACGGUACUGACGCUGAGACGCGAAAGCGUGGGGAGCGAACAGG